AAAUAAGAGCCUAUCAGCAAGUGCCUUCAAGGUCUGGGUAUGAGCUGGACAUAGGGAUGUUUUAGAGCCAUUUUCUUGUCUCAUAUUCUUUAAUGUCAAAAUAGGAAUAUUUAUUGCUAACAUUUGUGAGGAUGAUGCAAACAAGAUAAACUAUUUCCAUAUCACUUUGCAAAUCACUUAAAAUGCAUCAGGCAUUAAAAAAAAAUCAAGAAGUUAUGGUAGAAGCAGUAGAGAGGAAAGCAAGCAAUAAUGGGAGCAGCAGUAAUCACAUCCCAACAUAAAACUUAUCUUUAAACUGGGACCCCCUUUUCUUCUGAUACUUGGUUAAACUUGGCUUAUUUUUAUGAGAUUCCAGAGUUUCCCUAAUUUCCUGGGGUUUACUGCCUCUUGUGUUUCUUUGUGUCUAUUUCAUAUCAAUAUAUACUCCUUCUAUUUUUCUUGCUCAUUUGCAAUUAUGGAAGAACCAUGCUGUUUUCCACAAGGAGUCUUCUUGAAACCAGACACAUCAUGAAGGCUGUCAUUUGGAUGACGAUUGUUUGGGGAGUGUGUAGUAAUGGGAGGCAAGUUUGUGGAGGACAUCAUAUCUCUGACGGUGGGUAGAAAAAAGAUAUUAGAUUGGGCUGACAACAACUUGGAUAUGGAAGAUGAUACUCAAGGUUUAUGUCAAACUGGGAGAUGAUGCAGCCAUUUAAGGACUGGGAUAAGGGACAAACAUGAAAAGAAAUAUUUCAUAUGAUUCCAUGUUUUAAUUUAUGCCAAGAUAUUUCCAAAAUAUAUUUUUGCCAGAGUUAAAUCUGCCUACUCUCGUCAUUUGAAUGAUGAUUUUAACUUGUUAUUAUUAACUAUGAAAUUAGAUUAAUAUGAAAUUCAUACUGCUUUCUUUUG
Molecule: long non-coding RNA, 885 nt
Filed under: Marmota monax (woodchuck)
Lineage: Eukaryota; Metazoa; Chordata; Mammalia; Rodentia; Sciuridae
Source: RNAcentral